Molecule: ribosomal RNA, 292 nt
Filed under: uncultured Planctomycetota bacterium
Lineage: Bacteria; Pseudomonadati; Planctomycetota
Description: uncultured planctomycete partial 16S ribosomal RNA
Source: RNAcentral
GGACUACACGGGUAUCUAAUCCCGUUUGCUCCCCUGGCUUUCGCGCCUCAGCGUCAGUAGAGGUCCAGCGCGUCGCUUUCGCCACCGGCGUUCCUUCCGAUAUCUACGCAUUUCACCGCUCCACCGGAAGUUCCACACGCCCCUACCUCCCUCGAGACGAUCAGUAUCCGGGGCACUUCCGCAGUUGAGCUGCGGGAUUUCACCCCGGACUCGAUCGCCCGCCUACGCGCCCUUUAAGCCCAGUGAUUCCGAACAACGUUCGCACGGUUCGUCUUACCGCGGCUGCUGGCAC